ACGGGAGGCAGCAGUGGGGAAUAUUGCACAAUGGGCGCAAGCCUGAUGCAGCGAUGCCGCGUGAGGGAAGAAGGUUUUCGGAUUGUAAACCUCUGUCAUCGGGGACGAUAAUGACUGUACCCGAGAAGGAAGCUCUGGCUAACUACGUGCCAGCAGCCGCGGUAAUACGUAGGGAGCGAGCGUUAUCCGGAAUUACUGGGUGUAAAGGGAGUGUAGGCGGGACUGUAAGUCAGAUGUGAAAUAUGCCGGCUCAACUGGCAGACUGCAUUUGAAACUGCGGUUCUUGAGUGAAGUAGAGGCAAGCGGAAUUCCUAGUGUAGCGGUGAAAUGCGUAGAUAUUAGGAGGAACACCAGUGGCGAAGGCGGCUUUCUGGACAGUAACUGACACUGAGGUACGAAAGUGUGGGGAGCAAACAGGAUUAGAUACCCUGGUA
RNAcentral lists this ribosomal RNA (434 nucleotides) under uncultured Ruminococcus sp. Its description in RNAcentral is "partial 16S ribosomal RNA". It matches the Rfam family "Bacterial small subunit ribosomal RNA", at positions 341 to 792 of the family's 1533-position model. Lineage: Bacteria; Bacillati; Bacillota; Clostridia; Eubacteriales; Oscillospiraceae. The record is from RNAcentral.